GGACUACACGGGUAUCUAAUCCUGUUCGCUCCCCACGCUUUCGCGCCUCAGCGUCAGUAUUAUGCCAGGUGGCUGCCUUCGCCAUCGACGUUCCUUCCGAUCUCUACGCAUUUCACCGCUACACCGGAAAUUCCGCCACCCUCUCAUAUACUCCAGUCUCAUAGUUUGCGAUGCACUUCCCAGGUUAAGCCCGGGGCUUUCACAUCACACACAUGAUACCGCCUACGCGCCCUUUACACCCAGUAACUCCGAUUAACGCUCGCACCCUCUGUAUUACCGCGGCUGCUGGCAC
This 292-nucleotide ribosomal RNA is filed under the name uncultured bacterium. Its description in RNAcentral is "partial 16S ribosomal RNA". The record is from RNAcentral.